CCCCACUGCUAUCGGGAUGGGACUAAGACAUGCUAGUCGUACGCUUCUAAGCCAUGUUGGAAGCGUGGCAUACAGCUCAGUAACACGUGGCUAACCUGCCCUUGAGACGGAGACAACCCCGGGAAACUGGGGCUAAUAUCCGAUAGGUGGAGAACUCUGGAAUGAGUUUUUGCCCAAAAGGCUCUUAGAACAUGCUUCUAGGCGUCGCCCAAGGAUGGGGCCGCGGCCGAUCAGGUUGUUGGUGAGGUAAUGGCUCACCAAGCCUUUAACCGGUACGGGCCGUGGGAGCGGUAGCCCGGAGAUGGGAACUGAGACAAGGUCCCAGGCCCUACGGGGCGCAGCAGUCGCGAAAACUUCGCAAUACACGAAAGUGUGACGGGGCCAUCCCGAGUGUCGUCCGCUGAGGAUGACUUUUCCCCAAUGUAGAUAGUUGGGGGAAUAAGGAGAGGGCAAGUCUGGUGUCAGCCGCCGCGGUAAUACCAGCUCUUCGAGUGGUGGGGACGUUU
RNAcentral lists this ribosomal RNA (506 nucleotides) under uncultured archaeon. Its description in RNAcentral is "bacterial SSU rRNA". It matches the Rfam family "Archaeal small subunit ribosomal RNA", at positions 21 to 502 of the family's 1478-position model. The record is from RNAcentral.